UAAUACAGAGGGUGCGAGCGUUAAUCGGAGUUACUGGGCGUAAAGGGCGCGUAGGCGGUAGGAUGGGUGUGGUGUGAAAGCCCCGGGCUUAACCUGGGAAGGGCACUGCAAACUAUGUUACUGGAGUACAUGAGAGGGUGGCGGAAUUUCCGGUGUAGCGGUGAAAUGCGUAGAGAUCGGAAGGAACGUCGAUGGCGAAGGCAGCCACCUGGCAUGAUACUGACGCUGAGGCGCGAAAGCGUGGGGAGCGAACAGGAUUAGAUACCCUGGUAGUCCACGCUGUAAACGAUGAGGACUAGAUGUUGCUAGGGGAACCUAGGAGUAUCGAAGCUAACGCGAUAAGUCUUCCGCCUGGGAAGUACGGCCGCAAGGUUG
RNAcentral lists this ribosomal RNA (375 nucleotides) under uncultured bacterium. RNAcentral's name for it is "bacterial SSU rRNA". It matches the Rfam family "Bacterial small subunit ribosomal RNA", at positions 521 to 896 of the family's 1533-position model. The record is from RNAcentral.